CGUACAUAGGAAAUUCCCCCAGAGUCGUGAAUAAUUCAUCGAAAGGUGGACUAAUACACGAUGGUCUCGCAAGAGUAAAGUUUUAACGCUCUGGGAAAGGCCUGUGCGAUAUCAGCUAGUUGGUAGUGUAAUGGACUACCAAGGCUAUGACGUCUAGGGGAGCUGAGAGGCUGACCCCCACCGAUGGUACUGAGACACGGACCAUACACCUACGGGUGGCUGCAGUCGAGAAUCUUCCACAAUGGACGAAAGUCUGAUGGAGCGACGCCGCGUGAUUGAUGAAGUCCCUCUGGGACGUAAAGAUCUUUUAUGAGGGAAGAAGUUUAUUGACUGUACCUCAUGAAUAAGAGGCUCCUAAUCUCGUGUCCGUGUCUGUG
RNAcentral lists this ribosomal RNA (377 nucleotides) under uncultured bacterium. Its description in RNAcentral is "bacterial SSU rRNA". It matches the Rfam family "Bacterial small subunit ribosomal RNA", at positions 112 to 519 of the family's 1533-position model. The record is from RNAcentral.